Pteropus vampyrus (large flying fox) is the source of this 124-nucleotide ribosomal RNA. The record is from Ensembl. Lineage: Eukaryota; Metazoa; Chordata; Mammalia; Chiroptera; Pteropodidae.
GUUUACGGCUACCCUGAACGUGUCUGAUCCUGUCUGAUCUCGGAAGCUAAGCAGGGUCAGGCCUGGUUAGUACUUGGAUGGGAGACCACCUAGGACCACCUAGGAAGACCAGGUGCUGUAGGCA